CGGGUGAGUAACGCGUGAGUAACCUGCCUUACACAAGGGGAUAGCCGUUGGAAACGACGAAUAAUACCCUAUGACAUAAACUCUUCGCAUGAGGAGCUUAUCAAAGAUUUAUCGGUGUAGGAUGGACUCGCGUCUGAUUAGCUAGUUGGUGAGGUAACGGCCCACCAAGGCGACGAUCAGUAGCCGGCUUGAGAGAUGUACGGCCACAUUGGGACUGAGACACGGCCCAGACUCCUACGGGAGGCAGCAGC
This 251-nucleotide ribosomal RNA is filed under the name uncultured Anaerococcus sp. RNAcentral describes it as "partial 16S ribosomal RNA". It matches the Rfam family "Bacterial small subunit ribosomal RNA", at positions 103 to 355 of the family's 1533-position model. The record is from RNAcentral. Lineage: Bacteria; Bacillati; Bacillota; Tissierellia; Tissierellales; Peptoniphilaceae.